This 496-nucleotide ribosomal RNA is filed under the name uncultured bacterium. Its description in RNAcentral is "partial 16S ribosomal RNA". It matches the Rfam family "Bacterial small subunit ribosomal RNA", at positions 28 to 506 of the family's 1533-position model. The record is from RNAcentral.
GAUGAACGCUGGCGGCGUGCCUAAUACAUGCAAGUCGAGCGAACAGACGAGGAGCUUGCUCCUCUGACGUUAGCGGCGGACGGGUGAGUAACACGUGGAUAACCUACCUAUAAGACUGGGAUAAAUUCGGGAAACCGGAGCUAAUACCGGAUAAUAUAUUGAACCGCAUGGUUCAAUAGUGAAAGACGGUUUUGCUGUCACUUAUAGAUGGAUCCGCGCCGCAUUAGCUAGUUGGUAAGGUAACGGCUUACCAAGGAACCGCUGCGUCGCCGACCGGAGAGGGGGAUCGGCCACACGGGAACUGGGAUACGGGCCAGACUCCUACGGGAGGCAGGAGUAGGGAAUCUACCGCAAUGGGCGAAAGCUUGACGGAGCAACGCGGCGUGAGUGAUGAAGGUCUGCGGAUCGUAAAACUAUGUUAUUAGGGAAGAACAAAUGUGUAAGUAACUAUGCACGUCUUGACGGGACCUAAUCAGAAAGCCACGGCUAACUACGU